This is a long non-coding RNA of Malaclemys terrapin pileata, 379 nucleotides long. RefSeq lists it as uncharacterized. The record is from RefSeq and is a predicted model, not a curated record. Lineage: Eukaryota; Metazoa; Chordata; Testudines; Emydidae. The transcript is spliced from 3 exons.
AUCACAUCUCGGAAAAGAAAAGAUGUGGCCUGCUGGAAUAUGACAGCCAUGAAAAUUCAUGCAGACACUAUGAACUGAAUGGAAAAAGCUGAAUCCCUCCUGAGAUGAAGCAGAUCAGGAAUGAAAAAAGAUGUGCAAAUUGCACGAGCAAGAAUGAAUGUAGCCCCACGAACAUCUCAAAAACUUUCAAGGAAAGUAUCGUUAUCCCAUUUUACAAAUGAGAAAAUCGAGGCACAGAAAGCUGAAAGGACUCGCUUCUGGCCAGUGGCAGGUCCAUUAACAGAACUCAAGUUUCCUAACUCUGGUGCCCACUCCACUGGACCACACUGGGUAAAAAGAGAUUCAACUUCAGACUCCAAGAAAUAAAUAAAUUUGCUGC